CAAGUCGAACGGCAGCAUGGUGUGUAGCAAUACACACUGAUGGCGAGUGGCGGACGGGUGAGGAACACGUAGGAAUCUGCCUUAUAGAGGGGGACAACUAGAGGAAACUCUAGCUAAUACCGCAUACACUCUACGGAGGAAAGGCUGGGGCAACCUGGCGCUAUAAGAGGAGCCUGCGUCCGAUUAGCUAGUUGGUUAGGUAAAAGCUGACCAAGGCGAUGAUCGGUAGCUGGUCUGAGAGGAUGAUCAGCCACACUGGGACUGAGACACGGCCCAGACUCCUACGGGAGGCAGCAGUGGGGAAUAUUGGACAAUGGGGGCAACCCUGAUCCAGCAAUGCCGCGUGUGUGAAGAAGGCCUUCGGGUUGUAAAGCACUUUAGUUGGGGAAGAAGUUGCGUAGUUUAAGAGAUGACGUAAUUGACGGUACCCAAAGAAUAAGCACCGGCUAACUCUGUGCCAGCAGCCGCGGUAAUACAGAGGGUGCGAGCGUUAAUCGGAGUUACUGGGCGUAAAGGGCGCGUAGGCGGUUGAAUAAGUGAGAUGUAAAAUCCCUGGGCUUAACCUAGGCAGGUCAUCUUAAACUGUUCGGCUAGAGUAUUGUAGAGGGUAGUGGAAUUUCCGGUGUAGCGGUGAAAUGCGUAGAGAUCGGAAGGAACACCAGUGGCGAAGGCGGCUACCUGGACAAAUACUGACGCUGAGGCGCGAAAGCGUGGGGAUCAAACAGGAUUAGAUACCCUGGUAGUCCACGCUGUAAACGAUGAGAACUAGAUGUUGGUAGGCCUGACCUAUUAGUAUCGAAGCUAACGCGAUAAGUUCUCCGCCUGGGGAGUACGACCGCAAGGUUAAAACUCAAAGGAAUUGAC
This 864-nucleotide ribosomal RNA is filed under the name uncultured Gammaproteobacteria bacterium. Its description in RNAcentral is "bacterial SSU rRNA". It matches the Rfam family "Bacterial small subunit ribosomal RNA", at positions 58 to 914 of the family's 1533-position model. The record is from RNAcentral. Lineage: Bacteria; Pseudomonadati; Pseudomonadota; Gammaproteobacteria.